This 73-nucleotide transfer RNA is filed under the name Stegodyphus mimosarum. It matches the Rfam family "tRNA". Rfam says of the family: Transfer RNA (tRNA) molecules are approximately 80 nucleotides in length. Their secondary structure includes four short double-helical elements and three loops (D, anti-codon, and T loops). Further hydrogen bonds mediate the characteristic L-shaped molecular structure. tRNAs have two regions of fundamental functional importance: the anti-codon, which is responsible for specific mRNA codon recognition, and the 3' end, to which the tRNAs corresponding amino acid is attached (by aminoacyl-tRNA synthetases). tRNAs cope with the degeneracy of the genetic code in two manners: having more than one tRNA (with a specific anti-codon) for a particular amino acid; and 'wobble' base-pairing, i.e. permitting non-standard base-pairing at the 3rd anti-codon position. Lineage: Eukaryota; Metazoa; Arthropoda; Arachnida; Araneae; Eresidae. The record is from Rfam by way of RNAcentral.
GCCUUCGUAGUGUAAUGGUCAGCAUGCUCGACGCGUAACCGAGAGAUCCGUGGUUCGAUUCCCGGCGAAGGCG